ACGCAGACGGUGGUCGGUGGAUCGGUCACGCCACCCCCAGAUCAGCACCGGUUUGAAGCUGUCACGCAGACUUCUACAGUAUUUUUCGACAUGAAUCUCAUAAAUCCAUCCCUGGAAACUUCGAUUUUUUCUACCACUGUCGAAGUUGAAUCAAUGAAUUUAUGACGUUGUGUCAGUGGAGGAGGGCUCUAAGCCUCAAGAUUGUCUCUCAAGGAGACAUUGGACCUGAAAACAGUGAUACAACUGAAGUUGUGUCGUCACGGUUAAGCGGCCUAAGGAAAGGACUUGCACUGCCAUAUCCACCAUUGAUGCUUCGGUUUGAUAUUCGACGGUUGCUGGUAGCUGGCCUUGCCAUAUAAAAGUUAUCUGGCUCUGCCACCGGUUUUGGAAUGAUCAUCUUCUUCAUUUCCUGCAUUUUAUUGUCAAGACAGUUUCAACUUAUUGUAUUCUUGUAACAUUGCCACAAGAGGUACCUGGAGAACUAACAGUUGAUCUAGUCUCUGGACUUCAGCCUCAGCCUUGGGAAAGAUUUGCACAAAAGAAAAGGCGGUCAACAUAAUCUAUAAUUGGUUCGAUAAAGCUCUUCCAAGAUGGUGAAGCUGCCAUUUGUAAGAGGCCUUAGAAGUUCGGAACUGCUUCACUCUCUCAUCUUUCCGCAGCCUCAUCUCACGCAGUGCAGGCGCAAUAGAAUCCAGCUGCUCUCUCAAUGUUCCUCCCUUUUUUUCCGGCUGUGUAGAGAUGGCAACAAAAUUAUCAAUGAUACGUUAUCUGGAAAAUCUAAACUAGUCUUUGCUAUGGUAACUGAAUAAUCUUUUGCUUCACUUUGGAUAUUAAAGAUUGAAAAUUACCCUUCCAGGUACUGAUCUUUUACCGAGGCACAAAAGAAAGUGGGUGAGUUCGGCUUCAGAUUCCGCCAGCUCUUGAUGUAGACGAGACCUCGAAACAUUGGCCUGGUCAACUUUUCUCCGGUUUUGCUUUGAAGACAAGUGUGAAAGUGACACAAAUUCUGCUACAGAAGCUUCCAGUUUAAGUGAAGGCUCAUCCGCAUCUCCCUCCUCCUCUCAUUGAUUCAUCAGUUUUAGGUCUCUUUCUCUUUCUCUCUCUGAACCUCAUCUCAAAUUUGGUAAAGUUAAGGAGUCGCUUUUGUGCUGAUGUGUUUGCUUCUGCUGUAUGAAAAAGCCAGAGAGAGAUGUUUUUUUUGUUUAUACCAUAUGUACGAAACUUGAUUCCUAAGCAAACCUCUAGUGCAAACUUUUUACUUAUCUGAGAUCGACUGAGAGAUUCUUCAUCAUGUGGGUUUUUACGAAAUAAGCUUCUUGUU
Molecule: long non-coding RNA, 1321 nt
Organism: Capsella rubella
Lineage: Eukaryota; Viridiplantae; Streptophyta; Magnoliopsida; Brassicales; Brassicaceae
Exons: 9
Source: RefSeq, a predicted model, not a curated record